AACAAAUAUUCUAUCUCAAAUUCGAACCCUUUCUGAGUAUGUCACCUUUGUUACGAAACUUUGACCCAAAUGUCAAUUUCGUCGACAUGGAUAUCAAAGAUUGUGCUGAAAAAAAGAAGCAGCUUUGAUGGAUAAUAUGAUAAUCUUCAAUCCACUGAGAAUUGGAUAGCUACUAUGGCAUGAUAUGUUGUCUCUUUCAGCACACAGUAGUUUUUGUUCGGAUCCUACCAUGCCAAGGCCCACAGUUAUGUAGGUGAUAUUAUGAGAUCAAGUUGCAACAAUAGCUGAAUAUGCAACAACAAUCCAAGGUCGCAUAUCCAGACGCGAACUAAGCUCCCACUCACGACCCAUGUAACAGGCUAUGGCAAGUAAGGAGUAUAAAACAAUUAGUUCAUUAGGAUCACUGUUUAAUUUAUCUCUUGCUGGAAACCUAUUUUCUACCUCUAUAAGAUAGAGAUAAAAUCUGCGUAAACAUCUGAUAUCAACCUCUCUAAACUCUACUAGUAAAAUUACACCGAGUAUUUGAACUACUAGUAACAUGCACACAUUUUUCAA
Molecule: long non-coding RNA, 555 nt
Organism: Solanum tuberosum (potato)
Lineage: Eukaryota; Viridiplantae; Streptophyta; Magnoliopsida; Solanales; Solanaceae
Exons: 2
Source: RefSeq, a predicted model, not a curated record